UGGUUAAGUGACUAAGCGUACACGGUGGAUGCCUUGGCA
RNAcentral lists this ribosomal RNA (39 nucleotides) under Vibrio diazotrophicus. RNAcentral's name for it is "partial 23S ribosomal RNA". Lineage: Bacteria; Pseudomonadati; Pseudomonadota; Gammaproteobacteria; Vibrionales; Vibrionaceae. The record is from RNAcentral.